GAUUACGGGUAGCCGGCCUGAGAGGGCGACCGGCCACACUGGGACUGAGACACGGCCCAGACUCCUGCGGGAGGCAGCAGUGGGGAAUAUUGCGCAAUGGGCGAAAGCCUGACGCAGCGACGCCGCGUGGGGGAUGACGGCCUUCGGGUUGUAAACCUCUUUUACCACUCACGCAGGCCCCACGUUUUCGUGGGGUUGACGGUAGGUGGGGAAUAAGGACCGGCUAACUACGUGCCAGCAGCCGCGGUAAUACGUAGGGUCCGAGCGUUGUCCGGAAUUAUUGGGCGUAAAGAGCUCGUAGGCGGCGUGUCGCGUCUGCUGUGAAAGACCGGGGCUUAACCCCGGUUCUGCAGUGGAUACGGGCAUGCUAGAGGUAGGUAGGGGAGACUGGAAUUCCUGGUGUAGCGGUGAAAUGCGCAGAUAUCAGGAGGAACACCGGUGGCGAAGGCGGGUCUCUGGGCCUUACCUGACGCUGAGGAGCGAAAGCAUGGGGAGCGAACAGGAUUAGAUACCCUGGUAGUCCAUGCCGUAAACGUUGGGCGCUAGGUGUGGGGACUUUCCACGGUUU
This 568-nucleotide ribosomal RNA is filed under the name Nocardiopsis sp. RNAcentral describes it as "bacterial SSU rRNA". It matches the Rfam family "Bacterial small subunit ribosomal RNA", at positions 275 to 840 of the family's 1533-position model. The record is from RNAcentral. Lineage: Bacteria; Bacillati; Actinomycetota; Actinomycetes; Streptosporangiales; Nocardiopsidaceae.